RNAcentral lists this ribosomal RNA (565 nucleotides) under Vishniacozyma victoriae. Its description in RNAcentral is "eukaryotic LSU rRNA". It matches the Rfam family "Eukaryotic large subunit ribosomal RNA", at positions 112 to 667 of the family's 3401-position model. Lineage: Eukaryota; Fungi; Basidiomycota; Tremellomycetes; Tremellales; Bulleribasidiaceae. The record is from RNAcentral.
AAUUUAAAAUCUGGCGUCUUUCAGGCGUCCGAGUUGUAAUCUAUAGAGGCGUUUUCCGCGCCGGACCGCGUCCAAGUCUCUUGGAAUAGAGUAUCAAAGAGGGUGACAAUCCCGUACUUGACGCGACAACCGGUGCUCUGUGAUACGUUCUCAAUGAGUCGAGUUGUUUGGGAAUGCAGCUCUAAAUGGGUGGUAAAUUCCAUCUAAGGCUAAAUAUUGGCGAGAGACCGAUAGCGAACAAGUACCGUGAGGGAAAGAUGAAAAGCACUUUGGAAAGAGAGUUAAACAGCACGUGAAAUUGUUAAAAGGGAAACGAUUGAAGUCAGUCGUGUGAAAGGUAUUCAGCCGUCUCUGGCGGUGUAUUUGCCUUUCACGGGUCAACAUCAGUUUGAUCCGGUAGAAAAAGGCAGGAGGAAGGUGGCACCCUCGGGUGUGUUAUAGCCUCUUGUCAUAUGUGCCGGACCAGACUGAGGAACGCAGCUUGCCGCAAGGCCGGGGUUCGCCCACGUACAAGCUUAGGAUGUUGACAUAAUGGCUUUAAACGACCCGUCUUGAAACACGGACC